Molecule: ribosomal RNA, 465 nt
Filed under: uncultured bacterium
Lineage: Bacteria
Description: partial 16S ribosomal RNA
Rfam family: Bacterial small subunit ribosomal RNA
Source: RNAcentral
GACGAACGCUGGCGGCGUGCUUAACACAUGCAAGUCGAACGGAAAGGCCCCUUUGGGGGUACUCGCUCGGCGAACGGAUGAGUAACACGCAAGUAACUUACCCUCCCCUUCGGUUUAACUUACGGCAACUGAGGCUAAUUCAGGCCAGGUAUCAUUUCCGGCUGGUGGGGGUUGGUAAGCUUUGGUGGGUUUGGAUGGAUUGGCUGCCUAUUUGCUUGCUUGUUGGGUAGUUGCUUACCAAGGAUUUGUCUGGUAGCCGGCCUGCGGGGGGGACCGGCCACAUUGGGACUGGGAUACGGCCCAGACUCCUACCGGGGGCAAGAGGGGGGAAUAUUGCACAAUGGGCGGGAGCCUGAUGCAGCAACGCCGCGGGCGGGGUGGCGGCCUUCGGGUUGUAAACCGCUUUCAGCAGGGGCGGAGCUGGUGGUGACGGUACCUGCAGAAGAAGCACCGGCUAACUACGUG